Molecule: transfer RNA, 75 nt
Filed under: uncultured Actinomycetes bacterium
Lineage: Bacteria; Bacillati; Actinomycetota; Actinomycetes
Description: uncultured actinobacterium tRNA-Glu
Rfam family: tRNA
About the family: Transfer RNA (tRNA) molecules are approximately 80 nucleotides in length. Their secondary structure includes four short double-helical elements and three loops (D, anti-codon, and T loops). Further hydrogen bonds mediate the characteristic L-shaped molecular structure. tRNAs have two regions of fundamental functional importance: the anti-codon, which is responsible for specific mRNA codon recognition, and the 3' end, to which the tRNAs corresponding amino acid is attached (by aminoacyl-tRNA synthetases). tRNAs cope with the degeneracy of the genetic code in two manners: having more than one tRNA (with a specific anti-codon) for a particular amino acid; and 'wobble' base-pairing, i.e. permitting non-standard base-pairing at the 3rd anti-codon position.
Source: RNAcentral
GGGCCCAUUCGUCUAGUGGCCUAGGACACUGCCCUCUCACGGCGGCGGCACGGGUUCGAAUCCCGUAUGGGCCUU